UAGGAUCCAACCCGCAUGCCAGUG
This 24-nucleotide unclassified non-coding RNA is filed under the name Mus musculus (house mouse). RNAcentral's name for it is "oocyte_clustered_small_RNA2114". Lineage: Eukaryota; Metazoa; Chordata; Mammalia; Rodentia; Muridae. The record is from RNAcentral.